This 515-nucleotide ribosomal RNA is filed under the name uncultured bacterium. Its description in RNAcentral is "partial 16S rRNA". The record is from RNAcentral.
UACUCCCCAGGCGGGGUACUUAUUGCGUUAACUCCGGCACAGAAGGGGUCGAUACCUCCUACACCUAGUACCCAUCGUUUACGGCCAGGAUUACCGGGGUAUCUAAUCCCGUUCACUCCCCUGGCUUUCGCGCCUCAGCGUCAGACACAGUCCAGAAAGUCGCCUUCGCCACUGGUGUUCCUCCUAAUAUCUACGCAUUUCACCGCUACACUAGGAAUUCCACUUUCCUCUCCUGCACUCAAGAAAUGUAGUUUCCAUCCCAUCACGGGGUUGAGCCCCGAACUUUUAAGACAGACUUACAUUCCCGCCUGCGCGCGCUUUACGCCCAAUAAUUCCGGACAACGCUUGCCACCUACGUAUUACCGCGGCUGCUGGCACGUAGUUAGCCGUGGCUUCCUCCUCAGGUACCGUCAUUACUUAACAUUAUUCACAUUAAGCACAUUCGUCCCUGAAGACAGAGCUUUACGAUCCGAAAACCUUCUUCACUCACGCGGCGUUGCUCCGUCAGACUUUCG